RNAcentral lists this transfer-messenger RNA (378 nucleotides) under Buchnera aphidicola (Cinara curtihirsuta). It matches the Rfam family "transfer-messenger RNA". From Rfam's summary of the family: Bacterial tmRNA, also known as 10Sa RNA or SsrA, is named for its dual tRNA and mRNA-like properties. Lineage: Bacteria; Pseudomonadati; Pseudomonadota; Gammaproteobacteria; Enterobacterales; Erwiniaceae. The record is from RNAcentral.
GGGGCUGAUUAUGGAUUUGACAAAAUAUACAAAAAUUUUUGUUGCAUGUCGAGGGUUGGUUUGCCUCGAUAAAAAACCAAUUUAAAAUAAAAGCAAAAAAUAAAACUUACGCUUUAGCAGCUUAAAAAACUAGAUAAAGCCCUUUCUUUCUAAUCUUUUUUUUCUUCUCUUUUAAAAAGAAUAGAUAUAUUUUGAAAGGUUAUAUAAAAAGAGAUAGCUAUAUGCAAUUAAUCUUGAAAGAAUAUAGUGAUAUUUAAAGCCAAGAUAAAAAAUAAUACUUUGUUUAUUGAGUAUUAUUUAACAAAUAAAAAUAAACUAAACAUGUAGAGCAAUAAUCUCAGUUAUUUUGGACGCGGGUUCGAAUCCCGCCAGCUCCAA